CCUACGGGAGGCAGCAGGGCGGAAUCUUGCGCAAUGCCCGAAAGGGUGACGCAGCGACGCCGCGUGAGGGAUGAAGCCCUUCGGGGUGUAAACCUCUUUUGUGAGGGAAGAAUAAUGACGGUACCCCACGAAUAAGCUCCGGCCAAUUACGUGCCAGCAGCCGCGGUAAAACGUAAGGAGCGAACGUUGUCCGGAUUCACUGGGCGUAAAGGGUACGCAGGCGGUGGGGAAAGUCGGAUGUGAAAGCCCCGGGCUCAACCCGGGGAGGACAUCCGAUACUUCUCCACUUGAGGAAGGGAGAGGGAAGCGGAAUUCCCGGUGUAGCGGUGAAAUGCGCAGAUAUCGGGAGGAACACCAGUGGCGAAGGUGGCUUCCUAUCCCUUUCCUGACGCUCAGGUACGAAAGCUAGGGGAGCGAACC
RNAcentral lists this ribosomal RNA (420 nucleotides) under uncultured bacterium. RNAcentral's name for it is "bacterial SSU rRNA". It matches the Rfam family "Bacterial small subunit ribosomal RNA", at positions 338 to 774 of the family's 1533-position model. The record is from RNAcentral.